UGCAGUCGAACGGAAGGCCCUUCGGGGUACUCGAGUGGCGAACGGGUGAGUAACACGUGGGUGAUCUGCCCUGCACUCUGGGAUAAGCCUGGGAAACUGGGUCUAAUACCGGAUAGGACCACACACUUCAUGGUGAGUGGUGCAAAGCUUUUGCGGUGUGGGAUGAGCCCGCGGCCUAUCAGCUUGUUGGUGGGGUAAUGGCCCACCAAGGCGACGACGGGUAGCCGGCCUGAGAGGGUGACCGGCCACACUGGGACUGAGAUACGGCCCAGACUCCUACGGGAGGCAGCAGUGGGGAAUAUUGCACAAUGGGCGCAAGCCUGAUGCAGCGACGCCGCGUGAGGGAUGACGGCCUUCGGGUUGUAAACCUCUUUCAGUAGGGACGAAGCGAAAGUGACGGUACCUACAGAAGAAGGACCGGCCAACUACGUGCCAGCAGCCGCGGUAAUACGUAGGGUCCGAGCGUUGUCCGGAAUUACUGGGCGUAAAGAGCUCGUAGGUGGUUUGUCGCGUUGUUCGUGAAAACUCACAGCUUAACUGUGGGCGUGCGGGCGAUACGGGCAGACUAGAGUACUGCAGGGGAGACUGGAAUUCCUGGUGUAGCGGUGGAAUGCGCAGAUAUCAGNAGGAACACCGGUGGCGAANGGCGGGUCUCUGGGCAGUAACUGACGCUGAGGAGCGAAAGCGUGGGUAGCGAACAGGAUUAGAUACCCUGGUAGUCCACGCCGUAAACGNUGGGUACUAGUGU
This 748-nucleotide ribosomal RNA is filed under the name Mycobacteroides chelonae. Its description in RNAcentral is "bacterial SSU rRNA". It matches the Rfam family "Bacterial small subunit ribosomal RNA", at positions 56 to 822 of the family's 1533-position model. Lineage: Bacteria; Bacillati; Actinomycetota; Actinomycetes; Mycobacteriales; Mycobacteriaceae. The record is from RNAcentral.